GCCAGGUGUGGUGGCUCACACCUGUAAUCCCAACACUUUGGGAGGCCGAGGUGGGCGGAUCACUUGAGGUCAGGAGUUCAAGACCAGCCUGACCAACAUGGUGAAACCCCAUCUCUA
RNAcentral lists this non-coding RNA (117 nucleotides) under Gorilla gorilla gorilla (western lowland gorilla). Lineage: Eukaryota; Metazoa; Chordata; Mammalia; Primates; Hominidae. The record is from Rfam by way of RNAcentral.